GUGCAGGCCUCUCUAGACCACCUUCCCAGGCAAAGUUAGUAAUCACUUAUUUUAUUCAGCCAUCUCCCUUGAAGAGGUAGAGGGGUAAGGAAAAGGUGAUUCCUAGCCCCUGAUUUUUGAGUAGUGAACAUGAUGCUGGUCCUGGAUCUCAUUGGGCAAUAUAUUUCUUUCUUAUUGUCAGGACUUGAACUCCCAGUUGCCCUUGGCUGGAUCCAAAGUCCAGAUACAGCUUUAACCCUGAUCAUGUUCUCCAUUCAUAUUCCAUUCCUGUGAAUAUUUUUUAGGGAUAUUUCUUCUUUGUUAAGUGUGGCUUUUUCGUUUUUUUCUAAUAUUGUGUCUAUCAUUGCUCUAUAUUGGAAGCUCCUAGACUAUCAAUGCUGUUUCACUUGUGUAUCUAUUUUGCUAUAACCAUUAAUUAUUGUAGCUUACAUUGUGUAUUCUGGGACUGCUCUAAUGAUUUUCUCUAAUCACUUUCUCAAAGCUGGAUCAGGCAGGAGAAAGCUCUAUAGAAGUUACUGAAGUUGAGAACUGAAGAAGUGGUAUAAUGCUCCCUUCCACCGCCCACCACAGGUCAUGUGAGAGGAGCCCUGGGGUGGCAGCACUAGGAGGGGAUUCUGCUUCGAAGCUUCAUGCCAAUCUAUCAUCAUGAACUCUCAAGCCAAGGUAGAUCCAGCACCUGGAAGUGACCUGGUUUUUGGACGAAUGUCUAGAAGUUAUAUGUGUGAUAGACUCCUCUCCCUCAGAAAACAAUGGUGCACUGGAAAACCAGCAUGCAUCCAAGGCAAUGUGUAGUUAUGUUUCUAGAGUAAACUGUCCAAUGUCCACUUUGAUCCUGUCAACAGUUGCUUCUAGAUGAAGGCGGGGCACAUGCAUGGUCCCAGCUGACUCCCUUCUGCUGAACUAGGUUAUUUCCCAGUGGCACAGGCAAGGUACUAUAGACAGGAACUGCAUAUGAAGCAGGAUCUCCUUUAAAAUACACAGUAGUCAUCUUUUAUCCAUUGGGGAAGACAUUCCAGGAUCCAGUGGACCUCUGAAGGGUAACAAAUGCUCUAUAUAUUUGUGUUUUGUAUACUGUACAUAUAUACCUGUUAUGAAAUUUAUUAGUUAAGCACAAUAAAAAAUAAUAAAACAAUUUUAACAACAUACUGUAAUAAAAG
This 1157-nucleotide long non-coding RNA is filed under the name Marmota monax (woodchuck). Lineage: Eukaryota; Metazoa; Chordata; Mammalia; Rodentia; Sciuridae. The record is from RNAcentral.